RNAcentral lists this ribosomal RNA (503 nucleotides) under uncultured bacterium. RNAcentral's name for it is "partial 16S ribosomal RNA". It matches the Rfam family "Bacterial small subunit ribosomal RNA", at positions 30 to 523 of the family's 1533-position model. The record is from RNAcentral.
AUUGAACGCUGGCGGCAGGCUUAACACAUGCAAGUCGAGCGGGGUGAUGGUGCUUGCACUAUCACUUAGCGGCGGACGGGUGAGUAAUGCUUAGGAAUCUGCCUAUUAGUGGGGGACAACAUCUCGGAAGGGAUGCUAAUACCGCAUACGUCCUACGGGAGAAAGCAGGGGAUCACUUGUGACCUUGCGCUAAUAGAUGAGCCUAAGUCGGAUUAGCUAGUUGGUGGGGUAAAGGCCUACCAAGGCGACGAUCUGUAGCGGGUCUGAGAGGAUGAUCCGCCACACUGGGACUGAGACACGGCCCAGACUCCUACGGGAGGCAGCAGUGGGGAAUAUUGGACAAUGGGGGGAACCCUGAUCCAGCCAUGCCGCGUGUGUGAAGAAGGCCUUAUGGUUGUAAAGCACUUUAAGCGAGGAGGAGGCUCUUUUGGUUAAUACCCAAGAUGAGUGGACGUUACUCACAGAAUAAGCACCGGCUAACUCUGUGCCAGCAGCCGCGGUAA